GCCCCCAUAGUUCAAUGGAUAGAACAGGAGACUUCUAAGCUCUUGAUGUGGGUUCGAUUCCUACUGGGGGCACAA
RNAcentral lists this transfer RNA (75 nucleotides) under hydrothermal vent metagenome. Its description in RNAcentral is "tRNA-Arg-TCT". It matches the Rfam family "tRNA". From Rfam's summary of the family: Transfer RNA (tRNA) molecules are approximately 80 nucleotides in length. Their secondary structure includes four short double-helical elements and three loops (D, anti-codon, and T loops). The record is from RNAcentral.